UACGGAGGGACUAGCGUUGUUCGGAAUUACUGGGCGUAAAGCGCACGUAGGCGGCUUUUAAGUCAGGGGUGAAAUCCUGGAGCUCAACUCCAGAACUGCCUUUGAUACUGGGAAGCUUGAGUCCGGAAGAGGUGAGUGGAACUCCGAGUGUAGAGGUGAAAUUCGUAGAUAUUCGCAAGAACACCAGUGGCGAAGGCGGCUACCUGGACCGGUUCUGACGCUGAUGCGCGAA
This 232-nucleotide ribosomal RNA is filed under the name uncultured bacterium. RNAcentral's name for it is "partial 16S ribosomal RNA". It matches the Rfam family "Bacterial small subunit ribosomal RNA", at positions 524 to 757 of the family's 1533-position model. The record is from RNAcentral.